AUUGAACGCUGGCGGCAUGCCUUACACAUGCAAGUCGAACGGCAGCACGGGUGCUUGCCCCUGGUGGCGAGUGGCGAACGGGUGAGUAAUACAUCGGAACAUGUCCUGUAGUGGGGGAUAGCCCGGCGAAAGCCGGAUUAAUACCGCAUACGAUCUACGGAUGAAAGCGGGGGACCUUCGGGCCUCGCGCUAUAGGGUUGGCCGAUAGCUGAUUAGCUAGUUGGUGGGGUAAAGGCCUACCAAGGCGACGAUCAGUAGCUGGUCUGAGAGGACGACCAGCCACACUGGGACUGAGACACGGCCCAGACUCCUACGGGAGGCAGCAGUGGGGAAUUUUGGACAAUGGGCGAAAGCCUGAUCCAGCAAUGCCGCGUGUGUGAAGAAGGCCUUCGGGUUGUAAAGCACUUUUGUCCGGAAAGAAAUCCUUGGCUCUAAUACAGUCGGGGGAUGACGGUACCGGAAGAAUAAGCAUCGGCUAACUACGUG
This 486-nucleotide ribosomal RNA is filed under the name uncultured bacterium. Its description in RNAcentral is "partial 16S ribosomal RNA". It matches the Rfam family "Bacterial small subunit ribosomal RNA", at positions 30 to 507 of the family's 1533-position model. The record is from RNAcentral.